AAGAGAUCGGGAUAACACCUGGAAACAGAUGCUAAUACCGGAUAACAACAGAUGAUGCCUAUCAACUGUUUAAAAGAUGGUUCUGCUAUCACUCUUGGAUGGACCUGCGGUGCAUUAGCUAGUUGGUAGGGUAACGGCCUACCAAGGCGAUGAUGCAUAGCCGAGUUGAGAGACUGAUCGGCCACAUUGGGACUGAGACACGGCCCAAACUCCUACGGGAGGCAGCAGGGG
Molecule: ribosomal RNA, 231 nt
Filed under: uncultured Lactobacillus sp.
Lineage: Bacteria; Bacillati; Bacillota; Bacilli; Lactobacillales; Lactobacillaceae
Description: partial 16S ribosomal RNA
Rfam family: Bacterial small subunit ribosomal RNA
Source: RNAcentral